Molecule: long non-coding RNA, 454 nt
Organism: Macadamia integrifolia
Lineage: Eukaryota; Viridiplantae; Streptophyta; Magnoliopsida; Proteales; Proteaceae
Exons: 3
Source: RefSeq, a predicted model, not a curated record
AAGUUGUGAGAGCCAAUAAGCUCAGACCAAUAUGAAGAAAGAGAGUACUUAUCUCUUUCUCAUCACUCUGUUAAUUUUGCUUGGAAUCUGCAGUUCUUUUGUCCAAGCAAGAACAGUUUGUGAGAAACCAUAUAAAGGGGGCGUCAUCAUGAGGGUCUCACCUUCACCUCCACCUCCGCAAGGACAAGCCAGCCAACCAACUGCACUUUAAUGGACCUUGAUCAGGGAGACUCGAAUUGGAAACAGCUAUUAACACACAGAGCCUUUGGAUCAACAGGGCUACAACUUGGGUGUAUGGAUGAUCUCUUCUUAAUUCAAUGUGUUAUGCAUUCUGAAUGUUGGUAGUUUAUUAACUAUGUUUUCUUGUAACGGUUGGGCCUGCGCUAAAAAUGGAGCAAAACACAAGUAUUUCUAUUAAUGAAAUUGAAAAAUAGCUGAUGAUUUACCCACCAUC